This 450-nucleotide ribosomal RNA is filed under the name uncultured bacterium. Its description in RNAcentral is "partial 16S ribosomal RNA". It matches the Rfam family "Bacterial small subunit ribosomal RNA", at positions 354 to 796 of the family's 1533-position model. The record is from RNAcentral.
GUGGGGAAUUUUGGACAAUGGGCGCAAGCCUGAUCCAGCAAUGCCGCGUGCAGGAAGAAGGCCUUCGGGUUGUAAACUGCUUUUGUACGGAACGAAACGGUCCUGGCUAAUAUCCGGGGCUAAUGACGGUACCGUAAGAAUAAGCACCGGCUAACUACGUGCCAGCAGCCGCGGUAAUACGUAGGGUGCGAGUGUUAAUCGGAAUUACUGGGCGUAAAGCGUGCGCAGGCGGUGCUGUAAGACAGGCGUGAAAUCCCCGGGCUCAACCUGGGAAUUGCGCUUGUGACUGCAGUGCUGGAGUGCGGCAGAGGGGGAUGGAAUUCCGCGUGUAGCAGUGAAAUGCGUAGAUAUGCGGAGGAACACCGAUGGCGAAGGCAAUCCCCUGGGCCUGCACUGACGCUCAUGCACGAAAGCGUGGGGAUCAAACAGGAUUAGAAACCCGAGUAGUCC